AGCAACACUGUGCUUACCGUGUACUAAAAUUGGAAUGAUGCAGAGAAGAUUAGCAUGGCCCCUGCGCAAGGAUGACACACAAACUCGAUCUUAAUAGUAGGAGUUU
Molecule: small nuclear RNA, 106 nt
Organism: Sorex fumeus (smoky shrew)
Lineage: Eukaryota; Metazoa; Chordata; Mammalia; Eulipotyphla; Soricidae
Source: RefSeq, a predicted model, not a curated record